Long non-coding RNA from Myotis lucifugus (little brown bat), 447 nucleotides. RefSeq lists it as uncharacterized. The transcript has 3 exons. NCBI's taxonomy places the organism in Eukaryota, Metazoa, Chordata, Mammalia, Chiroptera, Vespertilionidae. The record is from RefSeq and is a predicted model, not a curated record.
AGGAACUAGAUUUACUAAAAUCAACACUAGGACCCCAAAGCAGAGCACUGAUAUACAUAAAAUUUCCUAUAGCCAAUUAGUUAUGGGAUGAAGAUGUUUGUGGCAAAAAUGCUUCUGGCAAAGAUGCUGCUGUGAAAAUACUGGACAUGCCCUGAGAUACCUUCCAUCACUGACACUUUAUGGCUGGAAGAUUGUGAAGGAGAAUAAAAUGACAUGGGAACCUCUCUGUUGGAAAGUCCAAUGUGGUGAAGAACAGAGACCUCCUAAAUGAGGAACUGAGGCCUCCACCAGCAAGUCGAGAAUGAGUGAGUGAUCUUGGAAAUGGAUUCUCCAGCCCAGGUCAGACCUUCAGAUGACAGCAGCCUGAGUCGACAUCUUGACUGCAACAUCUUGAGAGACCCCUGAGCUAAAGGACCACCCAGUGAAGCUGCUUCCAGAUUCCCGACU